Molecule: long non-coding RNA, 2054 nt
Filed under: Homalodisca vitripennis (glassy-winged sharpshooter)
Lineage: Eukaryota; Metazoa; Arthropoda; Insecta; Hemiptera; Cicadellidae
Description: uncharacterized LOC124357670, transcript variant X1
Source: RNAcentral
AUUUUCUAAAUAUUUAUGGUUUUUGGUCAUUUACAGUAGCAAAUCCCCUUAAGUAAAAGUAUUAAAAUCUUUCUUAACUAACAUUAAAACGUCAACAUAGAAAAAAUUAACAUAACAUUUACAAUUUAAAUAUUGGAUUGCCUGAACAAAGGCUUACAAUGGUCAAAUAGUUUAGCAUCCAUCAUAAUACUCACUGCCUUUUUUGUGAAAAAAUUAAAAUUUCUCUAUGGCUAUAUUAUUUCCCUAUACAAUCAAGCUGUAUCUCACAAUAAUCUCUAAAUAUUGGAAAUAGGCCAUCCGUAAAUAUUCAUAAGUAACUUGUCUUUUUAGGUUAACAAUUAAUCAAUUGUAAAAUUAUUGUAAAUUCUAAACAACUUUUUGCACACAUUGUCAAUUUGAUUUUCCCAUGAUAGACUAGCAUCACAUCUUAUACCUAACAAUGUGACUGGACUGUGUUUGUAAAACUAAUUUACUAUAUGUUUUGAAGCCUACUGUUAAAUUCUACGUCUUGUUUUAUUUAAAAAUAAUCCAUUUAUUUCCAAUAAACAAGUUGCACCUGUUGUAGUACUUAGAGACAAAGAUAUAAGAUGAUCUAAAUUACUAUGAACAUUCAAAAGAGAUGUGUCAUCAGGAAAGAUAUUGGCAAAGCUAGAAAGGUUAAAGCUAAAGUAUUUAAUUAAAAUUAAAAAUAGAAUAGGCCCCAACAGAAAUCCUUGAGGUACACCUAACUUAACAUCCAAAAUCUGGCAAAUAGCACCAUUGACAACAGUGAGAUAGGAUUCAAAAAUACAUAAAUCCUUCCAUGAAAACCAUAAGUUUAAUUUAGUAAGUGAAAUUUCAUGGCGUAUCAUAUUGAACACUUUGCUAAGGUUACACAGUGUUAUUUGAGCAAAAUUCUGGUUUUUUAAAGCUAAGAGUAAUUGUUGAGCGAGGCUAUCAAUAGCUUGUGUAGUGUACCUACCAGAGCGGUAGCCAUAAUAACAUUCAAUAAAUAGUUUGUGUUUGAAAAUGAUGACAUACUUAAUUCUAAGAACUUUUUCAAAGACUAGCCAACAUUGGAAUUCAAGAGAUUGUCUUAAAUUUCAUAACAACUGCAACUAUUGUUCACUUGUAUUUUUUCUGUAAAUAUCCUUGCACAUUAAAAGAUUUUUUUUUUAAAUCUAUACUAGUUGUGGUGUAUAUCAGUUUACAGUAUCCACCUUCUUAGUACGACUAACUCUAGACUUGCAUAUGUGACAUGAAAACAAUUCUCAGUGUUAAAAACCGGUUAAAAAAGGGAUCAAACAAAGGUAAAUUAGAUGCUAAAAUAAAAAACUAGUUUUAUUUAGAAAAGAUAUUCUUAAAGUCAUUAAUUUUAUUCUUGAUUCUAGGCCUACUUCUCAAGGAGUUAUCUGUACCAUGAUUUUUGUUCACACAGGGGUCCUUAGGGUUAUCAGAAAACAUUUUAAACAGUGAGUCAUCAUGAUCAUACAAAUCAACUUUCAUGAUCUCAAACUUGUAAUCUCUUGAAUGUAUUGUAAUUAUAUUGUGAUUGUGGGUAUAAUUCAAGAGACAGUGAUAGUGAUGUAAGCUUUCAAGCUUGCAUUAUACCCCGAUCUUGAAACUAUUUCACUAAUUUAGUUGUUAACGACUCAGACCCUGAGGAUGGAGGUUAUCUAAUAUUUCUAAUAUAAAAAUUACUUGUAUGCAACCAGUGUUGAGAACUAUGAAUCUUACAUAGAACAACACAUUUACCAUAGCUACUGACUUUUUUGUGGAAAAAUUAGAGAAACAGUGGUAUUCGAGCAAUCACUGAACCACCAGCCAUUUUACUUCCAUAGUAACCAGCCCAAAACUGUGUGUCUAUUCCUUCAUGAUGAAACAACAAAAAUCUCACAUCUGGUCCGUAGUUUCUGAAUGUAUGUGAUACCUGAAACACAGGGUGCAUGUGUAUGUAAUAUGCAAAUGCAUAUAAUAAUUUAAAAAAGUGUGAUUUUUUUUCUAAAAUGCUUUGUUACAAACAACUAAUAGCGAAAUAAAUGAUUUAAUAGCAAGUAAAAAAUAUACUAAGCACA